CUAUUUGCAACAAGCAAAAACUUGUGAGCCUACUAUUGGGAACCCACUCAGCCCAAUUUACCUGUGAGCCGAAGCAAGAACUCUUAUUUCCCCCGAAUCUGAUUGUGUAAAACUUGCCCUAGACUCAAACCAAACCAAAUCUGAUUUCGCUCUAGACUCACAAAUCUGAUUUCCCAUGGUGGAAGUGUGCUGGGUUCUCCUCAUCCAUUCUCAUUUCCCCCAAAUCUGAUUUCGCUCGAUCGUGUCUGAGUAAGAGAAUCGGAUUUCCCUCUCUCGAUUUCUCUCUAUAGAUCACCAUGGUCUUCUGAAGAAGAGAUCUCCAACGGUAGUCUGAUUCUGGAAACAAGCUUUGGUUCGAAUCAAUCCUUCCUCAUCUGCUACAGCUUGUCGUACAGAAGAAUUGAUGUAAUAAUAUUAGUAUCCCAAUAAGGUAAGGUUGGUUCAUAUGAUAAGCAGAAAUUUGAAGUGAAAUUUUACUAUUAUACAGUUAGCAAAAAACUGAGAGGUGAACAGGUUGAGAUAUACCUUGGCAUUGGCUUUGCAAUAUAGUUGGAACCAAAAUAGUUGGAACAAGAUUUUGAUUGGUUUUGUUUGUUUCUUAUUUUUAUUGUUUGUUUUAUUAUUAUUUUAAAAUUUUGUUUUGAACUGUGAAAAAGUGCGACGGAAAUCAGUGGCAACCUACGCACAACCUAGGAGUGUGCCCCUCACUCCCAAGUCAGUGGAUUUUGAAUGGCUUAAUAGAACAAUUUUGAUGGUCCUAUGCAUUUUCGGCACAGUUUAGAUGGUACCAAGCAUUGUGUGCCAAUCAAUUAGUGUUGACUAAUAUAGAUGCUUAGUUUGUUAUUUCAUUUUAUCAAGGCCUAUAUGUUCAGUUUAUUUAAAUAAAUUUGUUUCUUUUUCUUACACUAUAUAUAUAUAUAUAUAUAUGAUAUUCCAUGUCAGCUUCAAGUUUUUUUAUUCUAGUAUUUUUGUUUAUAGUGAUCAUAUAUAUAUAUAUAUAUAUUUUUUUUUUCUUACCAUUAUAUUUUUCGGAUUUUGUUUUACAUGAUCAAAUUAUAUCUUAUUGUGGUCUCUCUUGGUGCUAUUCUAAUAAUCUGAGCAUAGCAGUAGUUUCCUGGCUCACUGUUGUAUUUUUUGUUUUCUUUCUCAAACCUGAAAAAAAAGUGAACAUAUUUGUCUUUAAUUCUAUCUUUAUUGGUCUUACUAGAGAGCCAUGUUAAUAUUCUCAUCUUUAGUACAUUGAAUUUAUUAAUAUGUUGUUCAUUAAUUUUCCAUUUCAUUACCCAAAAAGAAAGAUAAUUUUGUUAAGGGAAGAAAUGGAAAAUAAUGUAUGAAUGUUGAGAUUUUUGCAAAUAUGUCUUUACAUUUAUUGUAUAUAAUAUUUGAAUAUAUAUAUAUGAUUGUUGGUAUUUUUUUUUUGUUUUUGCGAUGGUAAGAAGAUGGUCGCUAAUACAUUGUAGGCAUUUUUUAAACUCUUUUGCGACGACAAAAUAUCAGUCGCUAUAAGUAGGUUGGCGGUCGCAAAUAGUUUGUGACUGUUGUUUUGCGAUCGCAAAAAGUAUUUGCUACCCCCAUAUUCGCGACCCUCAUUUGCAGUCACAUGGGCCGUCGCAAAAAGUCUUUUGCGACUGUUUUUGUAUUAUUUGCGACGGCUUGUAGCGGUGGCAAAAAGUACUUUUUUUAGUAGUGAUUGUUGGGUAAAUUUGACAGAUAAGAUACCUUCAGGAGUACAUCUGCGGCCAAAAUUAUGUAAGCCCACGUAAUUUUCCUUAACAAUACCAUUAUUGUAGACCAACAGAGUUGGAAGAUUACGAUCCGGAUAGUUAGGAAUACAAUCAGUGGAUGCUAUCUUAACAUAUUUCGUUGCUGGGUAUUUGGUUGCCAGUUCUUCCAAGCAUUGCAGAAGAAUCCCACAUUUUGCGUAUCUAACAAAAAUUGAAGCAGAGAUCAAUACACGCAUGAAUAAGCAUUUAUGAAUGCAUCCACAUCCAAAGACAUGUAUAGUGGACAGAAUUGAGCUAAGCACCUAAGAAGAAACAACAAUCAAUUCCAUAAUGCUAUGUUUAGAUCUUGAAUUUAUCAACAGAAAAA
Molecule: non-coding RNA, 2091 nt
Organism: Camellia sinensis
Lineage: Eukaryota; Viridiplantae; Streptophyta; Magnoliopsida; Ericales; Theaceae
Source: RefSeq, a predicted model, not a curated record